Molecule: long non-coding RNA, 964 nt
Organism: Oncorhynchus tshawytscha (Chinook salmon)
Lineage: Eukaryota; Metazoa; Chordata; Actinopteri; Salmoniformes; Salmonidae
Source: Ensembl
AGGUCAUGAGGCAGUCGAUCAGCAGAGAUCUUACCAGCCAGCCACCCUACUCAGUAGACCCCUAGAUCAUACUCCACCGUCUCGACAAUUAUGAUCGGACAGAAGAACAAACGCAAUAGUCUAAGGCGUAGCAGUCGCCGUGCCAUGCAGGCCACGUUGACCUACCCUGAGGUGAUCGUUCGGAGUGUGGAGAUGACAUCGGUCAGUCGGAGAGACAUCUCCUCUUCGAUCAGCAACAACACCUACAACCGAUACUUGCUGGAGAAACAACAGAAGAUAGAGUUGGUUUGGUUCCAGAAGACAGGGAAGAAAUCAACUCUGGCUGUCGGAGCAACCAGUCCAACACCUGCUGUGUUCAAUGUCACUAAGGGUCUAUCUGACAAGCAGUGGCAGUCCAUACAAGGGGAGAUGCCAGGCAAUAUGACAAGAGAGGACUUUAAUGAGACCUGCAACACCAUCCUAUCAUGGGUGAAAGAGGCCGUUGGGACUGCUGUGAAGCCUGCCCUGGACCUGACCUGGGAAAUCAUCACCACUAACGGAUCUUCAAUAUUGUCCACCCCCUCCAGCUGUUCACGAACAGAGGAAUGCUCAGUUGUGAUCUGUCCCUUUCCAUCAAGGUAACCAUGGUUGACAGAGGAAGAACAAUGAUUCCAAGCACCACCCUUCUUUUGAAGUUUCCAGUCUGUUGUUCGAACUCAAUCAGCAUGACAGAGUGAUUUCCAGCCUUGUCCUCGUCAACACUCACACCUGUAUUAAUGAGAGAAUCACUGACAUGAUGUCAGCUAGUCCUUUUGUGGCAGGGCUGAAAUGCAGUGGAAAUGUUUUGGGGGGAUUCAGUUCAUUUGCAUGGCAAAGAGGGACUUUGCAAUUAAUUGUAAUUCAUCUGAUCACUCUUCAUAACAUUCUGGAGUAUAUGCAAAUUGCCAUCAUACAAACUGAGGCAGGAGACUUCUCAAAACUUUUG